GAGGGUGUAGCUCAGUGGUAGAGCACAUGCUUAGCAUGCACAAGGUCUUGGGUUCAAUCCCCAGUACCUCCA
RNAcentral lists this transfer RNA (72 nucleotides) under Camelus bactrianus (Bactrian camel). It matches the Rfam family "tRNA". From Rfam's summary of the family: Transfer RNA (tRNA) molecules are approximately 80 nucleotides in length. RNAcentral also lists the same sequence under 2 other names. Lineage: Eukaryota; Metazoa; Chordata; Mammalia; Artiodactyla; Camelidae. The record is from Rfam by way of RNAcentral.